Molecule: ribosomal RNA, 407 nt
Filed under: uncultured bacterium
Lineage: Bacteria
Description: partial 16S ribosomal RNA
Rfam family: Bacterial small subunit ribosomal RNA
Source: RNAcentral
AUUGAACGCUGGCGGCAGGCCUAACACAUGCAAGUCGAGCGGAGCGGCGGACGGGGGCGUAAUGCCAAGGAAUCGGCCUGGUAGUGGGGGAUAACGUCAGGAAACGGGAGCUGAUACCGCAUACUCUCAGAUGAGCCUAGGUCGGUUUAGCUAGUGGGUGGGGUAAAGGCCUACCAAGGCGACGAGCCCUAGCUGGUCUGAGAGGAUGAUCAGUCACACUGGAACUGAGACACGGUCCAGACUCCUACGGGAGGCAGCAGUGGGGAAUAUUGGACAAUGGGCGAAAGCCUGAUCCAGCCAUGCCGCGUGUGUGAAGAAGGUCUUCGGAUUGUAAAGCACUUUAAGUUGGGAGGCGUUACCAACAGAAUAAGCACCGGCUAACUUCGUGCCAGCAGCCGCGGUAAUUC